AGACUUACCCUCAGGGGAGAUACCAUGAUCAGUUAGGUGUUUUCCCAAGGUGAAGCUCACCUAUUGCAUUCUGGAUAUGCCAACCUUGUGCCUUUCCAGAUGUAGGCAACUCAGUUGCACAGCUUGUGGCAAAGGGAGGUGGGAGAAGUGGAAAGAAGUUUCUUU
Small nuclear RNA from Grammomys surdaster, 165 nucleotides. RefSeq annotates it as U1 spliceosomal RNA. The transcript has a single exon. Lineage: Eukaryota; Metazoa; Chordata; Mammalia; Rodentia; Muridae. The record is from RefSeq and is a predicted model, not a curated record.